UGCAAUCAUGGCAGGUGCUUUCUACGAGUCGAGUUGCUUGGGAUUGCAGCUCAAAGUGGGAUGUAAAUUCAUUCUAAAUCUAAAUAUUGGUGGGAGACCGAUAGCGUACAAGUACCGUGAGGGAAAGAUGCAAAGAACUUUGAAAAGAGAGUUAAAGAGUACCUGAAAUUGCUGAAAGGGAAGCGAAGGAAACCAGUGCUUUUGCCUGCUAUUUUUCUCAUGCUGCUUGCAGUAUGGGCGCUGUGGUAGGUUGGAGGUCAGCAUGGAUUUGAGCUUGGAUAAAUUGCCGUUCAGGAGGUAGGUCCNUUAGGACUGAUACUGUUUGGUGUUAUCUUGGUUUGGAUUGAGGCUAGUCACUUGUGCUCGUGAUGCUGACAAAAUGGUUUUCUUUACCCCGUCUUGAAACACGGACCAAGGAGUCUAACAUAUGUGCGAGUAUAGGAGUGGCAAACUCCCAUGCGCAAUGAAAGUAACAGUGGUAGGACCUUAUGGGCACUAUCUGCCGGCCACAAUCCUUCGGGAGAAAGGUCUGAGUGUGAGCAUACAUGUUGGGACCCGAAAGAUGGUGAACUAUGCCUGAAUAGGGUGAAGCCAGGGAA
Molecule: ribosomal RNA, 599 nt
Filed under: Chaetoceros cf. pseudodichaeta
Lineage: Eukaryota; Bacillariophyta; Thalassiosirophyceae; Chaetocerotales; Chaetocerotaceae
Description: partial large subunit ribosomal RNA
Rfam family: Eukaryotic large subunit ribosomal RNA
Source: RNAcentral